CCCGCAGUACUGGACCCGAGCGCGACGGCGCGGCUGGCGGACCUGGGCUGGCUUGUGGGGAAACGAAACUGAGGGAGGAGGCGGCGGCUCUGGCAGCGGCGGCGACAGUGUCGGCCUGACCACCCCCCUCCGCUCCCCGGCAGCUCGCUCUUUCCCCUCAGCUUAAUGAUGAAGAGGAGAACUGACCCAGAAUGCACUGCCCCCAUCAAGAAACAGAAAAAAAGAGUUGCAGAGCUUGCCCUGAGCCUCAGCUCCACUUCCGACGAUGAACCUCCCUCCUCUGUCAGUCAUGGAGCAAAAGCAUCUACUACAAGCCUUAGUGGGUCUGAUAGUGAGACCGAGGGGAAACAACACAGCUCUGACUCUUUUGAUGAUGCAUUCAAAGCAGACUCCCUUGUGGAGGGAACUUCUUCUCGCUAUUCCAUGUAUAAUAGCGUCUCCCAGAAGCUUAUGGCCAAGAUGGGCUUCAGGGAAGGUGAAGGAUUGGGUAAAUACAGCCAGGGUCGGAAGGACAUCGUUGAGGCUUCCAGUCAGAAAGGUCGAAGAGGCUUGGGUCUGACACUCCGGGGCUUUGACCAGGAACUGAACGUGGACUGGCGAGAUGAGCCAGAGCCCAGUGCCUGUGAGCAGGUGUCAUGGUUUCCAGAAUGUACUACUGAAAUUCCUGACACUCAGGAAAUGAGCGAUUGGAUGGUCGUGGGAAAGAGAAAGAUGAUUAUUGAAGAUGAAACAGAGUUUUGUGGGGAAGAGCUGCUUCAUAGUGUGUUGCAGUGUAAGAGCGUGUUUGAUGUCCUGGAUGGGGAAGAGAUGCGGCGAGCUCGGACUCGGGCCAAUCCCUACGAGAUGAUCCGAGGAGUCUUCUUUCUAAACAGGGCAGCAAUGAAGAUGGCUAACAUGGAUUUUGUGUUUGAUCGCAUGUUCACAAAUCCGCGGGACUCUUAUGGGAAGCCACUGGUGAAGGACCGGGAAGCUGAGCUUCUUUACUUUGCCGACGUCUGUGCAGGCCCAGGUGGCUUCUCAGAGUAUGUGCUGUGGAGGAAGAAGUGGCAUGCAAAGGGCUUUGGAAUGACUUUGAAGGGCCCUAAUGACUUCAAGCUGGAGGACUUCUACUCUGCUUCCAGUGAACUCUUCGAACCCUAUUAUGGUGAGGGUGGGAUUGAUGGAGAUGGAGAUAUCACCCGCCCAGAGAACAUCUCUGCUUUUCGGAAUUUUGUCCUGGAUAACACAGAUCGCAAGGGUGUCCACUUUCUGAUGGCUGAUGGGGGUUUCUCGGUGGAGGGGCAGGAGAACCUGCAGGAGAUCCUCAGCAAGCAGCUGCUUCUGUGUCAGUUCCUCAUGGCGCUGUCCAUUGUCCGGACAGGAGGCCACUUCAUCUGUAAAACCUUUGACCUGUUCACACCGUUUAGUGUGGGGCUUGUCUACCUGCUGUACUGCUGCUUUGAACGAGUUUGUCUCUUCAAGCCUAUUACCAGCCGUCCUGCCAACUCAGAGAGGUAUGUGGUGUGCAAGGGCCUGAAGGUGGGCAUAGAUGACGUUCGGGAUUACCUCUUCGCAGUGAAUAUUAAACUCAAUCAGCUGCGGAACACUGAUUCCGACGUCAACUUGGUGGUCCCCCUGGAGGUGAUCAAGGGAGACCAUGAAUUUACUGACUACAUGAUACGGUCCAAUGAGAGCCACUGUGGUCUGCAGAUCAAAGCUCUGGCAAAAAUCCAUGCCUUUGUUCAAGACACGACACUGAGUGAGCCUCGACAGGCAGAGAUCCGGAAGGAGUGCCUCCGACUCUGGGGGAUCCCAGACCAGGCUCGUGUGGCUCCUUCUUCCUCUGACCCCAAAUCAAAGUUCUUUGAGCUAAUCCAGGGCACUGAGAUUGACAUCUUCAGCUACAAGCCCACACUGCUCACCUCUAAAACCCUGGAGAAGAUCCGCCCUGUGUUUGACUACCGCUGCAUGGUGUCUGGCAGUGAGCAGAAGUUCCUCAUCGGCCUGGGGAAAUCCCAGAUCUACACGUGGGAUGGCCGCCAGUCAGACCGCUGGAUCAAGCUAGACCUGAAGACAGAGCUGCCUCGGGACACUCUGCUAUCUGUGGAAAUUGUGCAUGAGCUGAAAGGGGAGGGGAAGGCCCAGCGGAAGAUCAGUGCCAUCCACAUCCUCGAUGUCCUUGUGCUGAAUGGCACCGAUGUUCGGGAGCAGCACUUUAACCAGCGGUCUGACCUGGGCCCCAGGAAUUCAGCUUGCCGAGAAAUUUGUGAAAGCCGUUUCCAAGCCCAGUCGGCCUGACAUGAAUCCCAUCAGGGUGAAGGAGGUGUACAGACUGGAAGAGAUGGAGAAGAUUUUUGUCAGGUUGGAGAUGAAGAUCAUCAAGGGCUCCAGUGGCACCCCAAAGCUCAGCUACACAGGGCGUGAUGACCGGCACUUUGUACCCAUGGGCCUCUACAUCGUCAGGACAGUGAAUGAGCCCUGGACUAUGGGAUUCAGCAAAAGCUUCAAGAAGAAAUUCUUCUACAACAAGAAAACCAAGGACUCUACUUUUGACCUCCCCGCAGACUCCAUUGCCCCAUUUCACAUCUGCUACUAUGGCCGGCUCUUCUGGGAGUGGGGGGAUGGCAUUCGUGUGCAUGACUCCCAGAAGCCCCAGGACCAGGACAAGCUGUCCAAGGAGGAUGUCCUCUCCUUCAUCCAGAUGCACAGGGCCUAAGAGCCUCAGGAUGCGCCACCCCUGCAGAAUGCCCUGUUAUUCCUGAGACGGGGCCACUUGGGGCCCAUAGUGCUGGCUUCUUCCCCCUCUGGAAGGGACUGGGGAGCACUGUACCUGGCAUGAGGAGUGGGUGGCCUCCUCCCCAUCCCCCUGAAGAGCUCAGGCAGGGCCCUGCAGAGAACACUCCCACGUUCCUUCUGGGACACCUGCCUGGGAACUUCCACCUGCCAGGACUCAGCCUGAAGGAAGCUGCUCCUGAGGCAGGUAUGAGGUCAGUGCCUAGGGCACGUGGGGCCGAUGGAGGACGUGUCAGAGUGGCAGAGCUGUGGGCUCUGCUGUUCUCUCCUGCAUCCUGUAGACUCACUUUUCUGAGUUCCAUGCACUGCCCUGAGGGUAGCCAUGCCCUUGCUUUGCCCAACUUUUUAUUGGGCCAUCCCUGAGUGGGUGGAGACCUGCUGUCGUGAGCUGGCCAGGAGAACCUGCUAUAAAAAAUCACGGUUUUGUUUCUUUGAACUUACUGUUUUGAGGCCAAGUUGGAGACUGAUUUUCUUGUCUCCUUCCCCCAUUCAUCCUGGCCUUGCCUGAAGUUCUUCCUAGCUCAGAGGUCUGACAGUCCAGCAGGGUGGGAAGGAGGGAGUGUGGGCCAUCCGUCCCCUGAUACCACAUUGAGAUCCUGGGAGCCCUCUCUUUCGUACUGAGUAUGGAGUUGUAGAGCCAUCCUAGGUCCCAUCCCCUCUUGGUCCAAACACUGGGCAGCGCUAGAUGGCAGGAAGCAGCCUCCAAGACCUCUCUUUCUCUCCCCCACAGCAGCAGUGGCCCCACCAGUAACCAAGGGUACCUCCAGGGGUUUGGGUAGCGCUGCCCUCUGGCAGUCAUGCACCACUGUCUGCCAUAGCCGCUCUAGGGUCUUGACAGAAUUCUGAGCUGGAAGUGCAGCUCCCUUGCUACCCCUUCCCUUCCUUUUUCUUCCCUGAUAGGAGGUACAAUCUGCUUUUGUUUGUCAUUAUGUGGUCACUCCCAUUUCCUUUAUCUUGUCCGACAACGCUGAGAGGAGGGGGAGCUGGGCCAUAGCUUGGGGUGGGGGAGGGCACCUGUGGUUGUUUUUAAUGGGAAAUACCUCUCAGAGAUGUUCAUGCAGGCUCCCUAGGGCCCCAUCCCAGUGCCAGGCUGGUUUCCAUGGAGAUAGGGCACUGAGGCUCCCGUGAGGUUGGAAUCGACUUCACCAUGGGGGUCCUUCAGCCAGCAUCCAGCUCCCCACCCCCAGGCUGGCAGCAGCACAGCUGAGAUGCUAUAUUUCCACCCAAUUCUGGGUAUAUCAGUGUGUCUUGCAGAAUCUUGGAUCAUUAAAGAUAAACAUAUUUUUAA
This is an RNA transcript of Rhinopithecus roxellana (golden snub-nosed monkey), 4060 nucleotides long. It is a transcript of the gene named cap methyltransferase 1, with no coding region annotated. The record is from RefSeq and is a predicted model, not a curated record. The transcript is spliced from 24 exons. NCBI's taxonomy places the organism in Eukaryota, Metazoa, Chordata, Mammalia, Primates, Cercopithecidae.